Molecule: ribosomal RNA, 493 nt
Filed under: uncultured bacterium
Lineage: Bacteria
Description: bacterial SSU rRNA
Rfam family: Bacterial small subunit ribosomal RNA
Source: RNAcentral
AAAUGAAUUGACGGGGGCCCGCACAAGCAGUGGAGUAUGUGGUUUAAUUCGAAGCAACGCGAAGAACCUUACCAGGGCUUGACAUCCCCAGAAGUCUUUCGAGAGAAAGAUGUGCCUUCGGGAACUGGGUGACAGGUGGUGCAUGGUUGUCGUCAGCUCGUGUCGUGAGAUGUUGGGUUAAGUCCCGCAACGAGCGCAACCCUUAUUGUUAGUUGCUAACAUUUAGUUGAGCACUCUAGCGAGACUGCCGUUGACAAAACGGAGGAAGGUGGGGACGACGUCAAAUCAUCAUGCCCCUUAUGUCCUGGGCUACACACGUACUACAAUGGCCGGUUACAGAGGGCAGCCAAGCCGCGAGGCGGAGCUAAUCCCCAAAACCGGUCCCAGUUCGGAUUGUAGGCUGAAACUCGCCUGCAUGAAGUUGGAAUUGCUAGUAAUCGCGAAUCAGAAUGUCGCGGUGAAUACGUUCCCGGGCCUUGUACACACCGCCCGU